CCUACGGGCGCUGCAGUGGGGAAUAUUGGACAAUGGGCGAAAGCCUGAUCCAGCCAUGCCGCGUGUGUGAAGAAGGCCUUCGGGUUGUAAAGCACUUUCAGUGGGGAAGAAAGCCUUGGGGCUAAUACCCUCGAGGAAGGACAUCACCCACAGAAGAAGCACCGGCUAACUCCGUGCCAGCAGCCGCGGUAAUACGGAGGGUGCGAGCGUUAAUCGGAAUUACUGGGCGUAAAGCGCGCGUAGGCGGUCUGAUAAGCCGGUUGUGAAAGCCCCGGGCUCAACCUGGGAACGGCAUCCGGAACUGUCAGGCUAGAGUGCAGGAGAGGAAGGUAGAAUUCCCGGUGUAGCGGUGAAAUGCGUAGAGAUCGGGAGGAAUACCAGUGGCGAAGGCGGCCUUCUGGACUGACACUGACGCUGAGGUGCGAAAGCGUGGGUAGCAAACAGGAUUAGAUACCCUGGUAGUC
RNAcentral lists this ribosomal RNA (464 nucleotides) under Vreelandella stevensii. Its description in RNAcentral is "partial 16S ribosomal RNA". It matches the Rfam family "Bacterial small subunit ribosomal RNA", at positions 338 to 795 of the family's 1533-position model. Lineage: Bacteria; Pseudomonadati; Pseudomonadota; Gammaproteobacteria; Oceanospirillales; Halomonadaceae. The record is from RNAcentral.